This 780-nucleotide ribosomal RNA is filed under the name uncultured bacterium. Its description in RNAcentral is "bacterial SSU rRNA". It matches the Rfam family "Bacterial small subunit ribosomal RNA", at positions 62 to 875 of the family's 1533-position model. The record is from RNAcentral.
UCGCACGAGAAAGUGGAGCAAUCCAUGAGUACAGUGGCGUACGGGUGAGUAACACGUGGAUCAUCUACCCUUUAGUGGGGAAUAACCCUGGGAAACCGGGGCUAAUACCGCAUAAGCCUGGAAAGGGAAAGCAGCAAUGCGCUGAAGGAGGAGUCCGCGGCCGAUUAGCUAGUUGGUAGGGUAAUGGCCUACCAAGGCAAUGAUCGGUAGCCGGCCUGAGAGGGCACACGGCCACACUGGCACUGAAACACGGGCCAGACUCCUACGGGAGGCAGCAGUGGGGAAUCUUGCACAAUGGGGGAAACCCUGAUGCAGCGACGCCGCGUGAGCGAUGAAGCCCUUCGGGGUGUAAAGCUCUUUCGGCAGGAACGAUAAUGACGGUACCUGAAGAAGAAGCUGCGGCUAACUACGUGCCAGCAGCCGCGGUAAUACGUAGGCAGCAAGCGUUGUUCGGAGUUACUGGGCGUAAAGAGUGUGUAGGCUGUUCUCUAAGUUUGGUGUGAAAUCUCCCGGCUUAACUGGGAGGGUGCGCCGAAAACUGGAGGGCUUGAGUAUGGGAGAGGAAAGCGGAAUUCCUGGUGUAGCGGUGAAAUGCGUAGAUAUCAGGAGGAACACCUGCGGUGUAGACGGCUUUCUGGACCAUCACUGACGCUGAGACACGAAAGCGUGGGGAGCAAACAGGAUUAGAUACCCUGGUAGUCCACGCCCUAAACGAUGCAUACUUGGUGUGAGCCGUUCAUUCGGUUCGUGCCGGAGCUAACGCGUUAAGUAUGCCGCCUG